AAGCGAUUCUCCUGCCUCAGCCUCCUGAGUAGCUGGGAUUACAGAAUAUUCAGAUGGGAUUACAUUUGAAUUAGAAGAAUAAUUAACAUUGCACAGUGAGGAAUACAGACUGUUGACACUGGUGAAGAGGAUGAGAGUGUCUACCUUUGUGUAAAGGGUAUUGUAUCUUACUAGGCUACAGCAUGAAGUGGUGGUGGUAUAUGGUGAUUAAAAUAUGUGUGGAAGGGUGUAUAUGGAUGCCUAGCAUCCUAAGGGGAGGACUGAGUUGGUUAUGAAGUUACUGGGUCUCAGCUCUAAAUCCUGCUCUGUGAUCCUGUGGCUGGGACUCUAAUAAUUUGUCAGCUGGCUUCUUGUUAAGUUCUGCCAGUAGAGGGCAUUAGAGGGAAACUGGAAGGCAAGGGUUGGGGGCCGGGGGUGGGGGGCGGUGGGAGGGAAGGAUCUUCCUCCUUCCUGGUGGCUUGCUGUUCUGUUAGCUGCCUGACAGCAGCUGUUGGGUCCAGUCUCUACUUUGGGGGUAGAGGGGGGAUGCUCAGAAGUGGCCUCAGAGGUUCCAGCACCCAGAACAGUUUUGCCUUCAUUCUCUUCCUUUGCUCCUUGUAACACAUAUAAAUCACCUCUUGGGGGUUUGGGAAUUGCCCAAGCUGAGAGGUAGCAAUAUCUCCUUGUUACAGUUAUCACGUUUCUAUAUUUCUUCCAGAUAGAGGAAGGAUUACAAAAAGGCAAAUGGCCAAACCUUGUUUUACUGGGGCAGGCUUUUCCAAAGGACCAGGCAGAAGCACCAUUUUAUUUAUUUGUUUUAAUUAAAAA
This is a long non-coding RNA of Nomascus leucogenys (northern white-cheeked gibbon), 807 nucleotides long. RefSeq lists it as uncharacterized. The transcript is spliced from 2 exons. The record is from RefSeq and is a predicted model, not a curated record. Lineage: Eukaryota; Metazoa; Chordata; Mammalia; Primates; Hylobatidae.